RNAcentral lists this small RNA (568 nucleotides) under Pongo abelii (Sumatran orangutan). Its description in RNAcentral is "retained intron". The record is from RNAcentral. Lineage: Eukaryota; Metazoa; Chordata; Mammalia; Primates; Hominidae.
CUGCAUACAUUGGUCUGGCCGCUGUGUCCCGGCCUGGAGAAGGGGUGAAAAACAUGAACUUACAGGGCUUUGGGUUCCAUGUGCAAGCAUGUGAGUCAGACGUGGGAGGCUCCUGGACCUACUUGCCCUCUCAGUGAGUCCUUUGCAUGCUAUAAACAGUGAAAAGCAAAACAAAGCCAUUCAAAUACGGAUGCUCUUUUUACUUGAUGUGCAGUGCGGAGGGAGAGAAGAUAGGGAAGGGUUGGGGGGCCAGAGAACCACCAUUGUGACCUAUUUCCAUUCUCUUUUUUAGGGAACAUUAAGCAAAAUCCCAAUACACAGAGCCUGUCACAGACAGGGACGGAGCUGAAGACCAUCAACGACUUUCUCUUCCAGAGCCAGAUCGACAACAUCAACCUGUUCAAGGUGCAGCGAUACUGUGAGAAGAGCAUGAUCAGCAGAAAGCUCUUUGGAUUCACUGAACGGUACGGAGCAGUGCUCUCAUCCCGGGAGCAGCCCAAACUGGCUGGGUUUCAGCAAUUCCUGCAGAGCCUGCAGCCCAGGACGACUGAAGCUCUUGCAGCCCCUG